GUAGGUGAACCUGCGGAAGGAUCAUUAACACGUAUCCACGUAUCAACCAACUGUGAACUUGUUUUCAACUCUCCCUGCCUAGUACAUGAAUUGAAUUGCAUAAGGUCAUCAUGAGGAAUUCUUUCGAGAGUUCAGCCUUAUAUAAUAACUUGACUUUCGGGUCAGACAAUUGUAGUAUCAGCGUCAGGCAAACCCUUUCUACUAACAACUUCUCUCGUAAUGAAGGAGUUAGUGGGAUCCUUUAACACCUAUUUCACCCCUUUUUUGCUAGUUGACUUUUAUAUGUUGGCUUAUUUGUACUUUAUUGUAUAAGUGAAUCACACGUUUAUUAUUUGAACGUUAAAAUUACAACUCUUAGCAAUGGAUAUCUUGGUUCUC
RNAcentral lists this unclassified non-coding RNA (378 nucleotides) under rhizosphere metagenome. RNAcentral describes it as "partial ribosomal RNA internal transcribed spacer region". The record is from RNAcentral.